GGGAUGGUGACAGUGUGCCGGAUGGUGACGGCCUGGGAAUGCUGUGUCAGAGCCAUGAAACCGACCUUAAGAACAAACCAACCAACCAAAGGACGGUCGCCCCAGACUUCUGAAUUUCCCCUCCUACAACACAGGGAUUUCUGCUCCCACAGCACGUGGAGAAGGUGGGCUUCGUGCCACUCGUUGCUGCUGUAUCCAUCCCCAAAAGCUGUGAGGAAGGCGCUCCUUGGCUCCUGCUGCUGAGUGUUUCAAGGGAUAGGAAGUACAGAAUUUAUUGUCUUGGAAAAAUAUUGCUUUCUCUCCCCCAGAAAGCUGAAAAUGGGGUUAAUUCCACUUUUUCAAACGGU
Molecule: non-coding RNA, 347 nt
Organism: Phasianus colchicus (ring-necked pheasant)
Lineage: Eukaryota; Metazoa; Chordata; Aves; Galliformes; Phasianidae
Source: RefSeq, a predicted model, not a curated record